UUGCACGCUGGCGGCAUGCUUUACACAUGCAAGUCGCACGGUAACAGGCCUUCGGGUGCUGACGAGUGGCGAACGGGUGAGUAAUGCAUCGGAACGUGCCCAGAGGUGGGGGAUAACGCAGCGAAAGCUGUGCUAAUACCGCAUGUGAUCUGAGGAUGAAAGCGGGGGACCAAGCAGCAAUGUUUGGCCUCGCGCCUCUGGAGCGGCCGAUGUCAGAUUAGGUAGUUGGUGGGGUAAAGGCCUACCAAGCCGACGAUCUGUAGCUGGUCUGAGAGGACGACCAGCCACACUGGGACUGAGACACGGCCCAGACUCCUACGGGAGGCAGCAGUGGGGAAUUUUGGACAAUGGGCGCAAGCCUGAUCCAGCAAUGCCGCGUGCGGGAAGAAGGCCUUCGGGUUGUAAACCGCUUUUGUACGGAACGAAAAGGCUCUGGCUAAUACCUGGGGCUGAUGACGGUACCGUAAGAAUAAGCACCGGCUAACUACGUG
Molecule: ribosomal RNA, 491 nt
Filed under: uncultured bacterium
Lineage: Bacteria
Description: partial 16S ribosomal RNA
Rfam family: Bacterial small subunit ribosomal RNA
Source: RNAcentral